GAUGAACGCUGGCGGCGUGCCUAAUACAUGCAAGUCGAGCGAACGGACGAGAAGCUUGCUUCUCUGAUGUUAGCGGCGGACGGGUGAGUAACACGUGGAUAACCUACCUAUAAGACUGGGAUAACUUCGGGAAACCGGAGCUAAUACCGGAUAAUAUUUUGAACCGCAUGGUUCAAAAGUGAAAGACGGUCUUGCUGUCACUUAUAGAUGGAUCCGCGCUGCAUUAGCUAGUUGGUAAGGUAACGGCUUACCAAGGCAACGAUGCAUAGCCGACCUGAGAGGGUGAUCGGCCACACUGGAACUGAGACACGGUCCAGACUCCUACGGGAGGCAGCAGUAGGGAAUCUUCCGCAAUGGGCGAAAGCCUGACGGAGCAACGCAGCGUGAGUGAUGAAGGUCUUCGGAUCGUAAAACUCUGUUAUUAGGGAAGAACAUAUGUGUAAGUAACUGUGCACAUCUUGACGGUACCGAAUCAGAAGGCCACGGCUAACUACGU
This 496-nucleotide ribosomal RNA is filed under the name uncultured bacterium. Its description in RNAcentral is "partial 16S ribosomal RNA". It matches the Rfam family "Bacterial small subunit ribosomal RNA", at positions 28 to 506 of the family's 1533-position model. The record is from RNAcentral.